RNAcentral lists this non-coding RNA (24 nucleotides) under Arabidopsis thaliana (thale cress). The record is from RNAcentral. Lineage: Eukaryota; Viridiplantae; Streptophyta; Magnoliopsida; Brassicales; Brassicaceae.
CGAAUAGAGUUAGUCUGUGACGGU